GAUUAACGCUGGCGGCGUGCAUAACACAUGCAAGUCGAACGAUGAAACUUUAAUGAACCCUUCGGGGAGAAUUAAAGCGGAUUAGUGGCGAACGGGUGAGUAACGCGUGAGUAACCUGCCUUACACAAGGGGAUAGCCUUUGGAAACGAAGAAUAAUACCCUAUAAAACCAUACAAGCACAUGCAAUUAUGGUCAAAGUGAUAGCGGUGUAAGAUGGACUUGCGUCUGAUUAGCUAGUUGGUGAGAUAAAAGCCCACCAAGGCAACGAUCAGUAGCCGGCUUGAGAGAGUGUACGGCCACAUUGGGACUGAGACACGGCCCAGACUCCUACGGGAGGCAGCAGUGGGGAAUUUUGCACAAUGGGGGAAACACUGAUGCAGCGACGCCGCGUGAUUUAGAAGGCCUUCGGGUUGUAAAAAUCUUUUGUAUAGGAAGAAAAUGACAGUACUAUACGAAUAAGGUCCGGCUAAUUACGUG
This 477-nucleotide ribosomal RNA is filed under the name uncultured bacterium. RNAcentral describes it as "partial 16S ribosomal RNA". It matches the Rfam family "Bacterial small subunit ribosomal RNA", at positions 28 to 507 of the family's 1533-position model. The record is from RNAcentral.